This 74-nucleotide transfer RNA is filed under the name Candidatus Argoarchaeum ethanivorans. RNAcentral describes it as "tRNA-Glu". It matches the Rfam family "tRNA". From Rfam's summary of the family: Transfer RNA (tRNA) molecules are approximately 80 nucleotides in length. Their secondary structure includes four short double-helical elements and three loops (D, anti-codon, and T loops). The record is from RNAcentral. Lineage: Archaea; Methanobacteriati; Methanobacteriota; Methanomicrobia; Methanosarcinales.
GCUCCGAUAGUGUAGCGGCCAAUCAUUUCGGCCUUUCGAGCCGAGGACUCGGGUUCAAAUCCCGAUCGGAGCAC